Molecule: transfer RNA, 65 nt
Filed under: Chorthippus aethalinus
Lineage: Eukaryota; Metazoa; Arthropoda; Insecta; Orthoptera; Acrididae
Also listed under: 3 other names
Description: tRNA-Gly
Source: RNAcentral
AUUUUUCUAGUAUAAACAGUACAUUUGACUUCCAAUCAAAAAGCUUGAAUUAAUCAAGAAAAAUA